GACAGGAGAGAAAAUGCACGUUCAGAUAGGAAGGAUCACCUCGAGCAGACUGUUGAGAGGCUAACACAAUUAGUGGUGGGCUUUAUCUCAAUAGUAAACCAAACAUGGCCCAUAAUCCUAAUGGUGACCGCAGUGGUAAUUAGAAUCAUGCCUCUGUAAAUGCACUGCAACUAGCUAAGCUAGAUAAUGGGAAGUUGAUUAAGUAAUUUAGAGGGUUGAAUCUACCUGCCUUUUGAUGAGGACUUUUUCCACCAAUAGUUGAACAAUGGUUCAUGUAAAUAGAGAAGAGGCUCAAAUAUCUCAAGCCUACAUCUGAGCAGAAGGUGGAACUCACUUCUUUUAUAUUCGAAG
RNAcentral lists this long non-coding RNA (351 nucleotides) under Carica papaya (papaya). RNAcentral's name for it is "long non-coding RNA (CPAP_LNC010941)". Lineage: Eukaryota; Viridiplantae; Streptophyta; Magnoliopsida; Brassicales; Caricaceae. The record is from RNAcentral.